This 41-nucleotide ribosomal RNA is filed under the name Odontoschisma sphagni. RNAcentral describes it as "partial 26S ribosomal RNA". RNAcentral also lists the same sequence under 1 other name. The record is from RNAcentral. Lineage: Eukaryota; Viridiplantae; Streptophyta; Jungermanniopsida; Jungermanniales; Cephaloziaceae.
GGACCUCAGAUCAGGCAAGAUUACCCGCUGAGUUUAAGCAU